This 161-nucleotide ribosomal RNA is filed under the name Hieracium sarykamyschense. RNAcentral's name for it is "5.8S ribosomal RNA". It matches the Rfam family "5.8S ribosomal RNA". From Rfam's summary of the family: 5.8S ribosomal RNA (5.8S rRNA) is a component of the large subunit of the eukaryotic ribosome. It is transcribed by RNA polymerase I as part of the 45S precursor that also contains 18S and 28S rRNA. Lineage: Eukaryota; Viridiplantae; Streptophyta; Magnoliopsida; Asterales; Asteraceae. The record is from RNAcentral.
ACACAAACGACUCUCGGCAACGGAUAUCUCGGCUCACGCAUCGAUGAAGAACGUAGCAAAAUGCGAUACUUGGUGUGAAUUGCAGAAUCCCGUGAACCAUCGAGUUUUUGAACGCAAGUUGCGCCCGAAGCCAUCCGGCCGAGGGCACGCCUGCCUGGGCG